RNAcentral lists this ribosomal RNA (468 nucleotides) under uncultured bacterium. RNAcentral's name for it is "partial 16S ribosomal RNA". It matches the Rfam family "Bacterial small subunit ribosomal RNA", at positions 28 to 507 of the family's 1533-position model. The record is from RNAcentral.
GACGAACGCUGGCGGCGUGCUUAACACAUGCAAGUCGAACGGAAAGGCCCUGCUUUUGUGGGGUGCUCGAGUGGCGAACGGGUGAGUAACACGUGAGUAACCUGCCCUUGACUUUGGGAUAACUUCAGGAAACUGGGGCUAAUACCGGAUAGGAGCUCCUGCUGCAUGGUGGGGGUUGGAAAGUUUCGGCGGUUGGGGAUGGACUCGCGGGUUAUCAGCUUGUUGGUGGGGUAGUGGCUUACCAAGGCUUUGACGGGUAGCCAGCCUGAGAGGGUGACCGGCCACAUUGGGACUGAGAUACGGCCCAGACUCCUACGGGAGGCAGCAGUGGGGAAUAUUGCACAAUGGGCGGAAGCCUGAUGCAGCAACGCCGCGUGCGGGAUGACGGCCUUCGGGUUGUAAACCGCUUUCGCCUGUGACGAAGCGUGAGUGACGGUAAUGGGUAAAGAAGCACCGGCUAACUACGUG